CAAUAGCGUAUAUUAAAGUUGUUGCAGUUAAAAAGCUCGUAGUUGGAUUUCUGGCAGGAGCGACCGGUCACACACUCUGUGUGUGAACUUGCGUUGUCUCUGGCCAUCCUUGGGAAGAUCCUGUUUGGCAUUAAGUUGUCGGGCAGGGGAUACCCAUCGUUUACUGUGAAAAAAUUAGAGUGUUUAAAGCAGGCUUAUGCCGUUGAAUAUAUUAGCAUGGAAUAAUAAGAUAGGACUUCGGAACUAUUUUGUUGGUUUGCGUUACGAAGUAAUGAUUAAUAGGGACAGUUGGGGGUAUUCGUAUUUCGUUGUCAGAGGUGAAAUUCUUGGAUUUCCGAAAGACGAACUACUGCGAAAGCAUUUAUCAAGGAUGUUUUCAUUAA
RNAcentral lists this ribosomal RNA (383 nucleotides) under uncultured eukaryote. Its description in RNAcentral is "partial 18S ribosomal RNA". It matches the Rfam family "Eukaryotic small subunit ribosomal RNA", at positions 592 to 976 of the family's 1831-position model. The record is from RNAcentral.